Molecule: ribosomal RNA, 466 nt
Filed under: uncultured bacterium
Lineage: Bacteria
Description: partial 16S ribosomal RNA
Rfam family: Bacterial small subunit ribosomal RNA
Source: RNAcentral
GAUGAACGCUGGCGGCGUGCUUAACACAUGCAAGUCGAACGAUGAAGCCCAGCUUGCUGGGUGGAUUAGUGGCGAACGGGUGAGUAACACGUGAGUAACCUGCCCUUGACUCUGGGAUAAGCCUGGGAAACUGGGUCUAAUACUGGAUAUGACUUCUCAUCGCAUGGUGGGGGGUGGAAAGAUUUAUUGGUCUUGGAUGGACUCGCGGCCUAUCAGCUUGUUGGUGAGGUAAUGGCUCACCAAGGCGACGACGGGUAGCCGGCCUGAGAGGGUGACCGGCCACACUGGGACUGAGACACGGCCCAGACUCCUACGGGAGGCAGCAGUGGGGAGUAUUGCACAAUGGGCGCAAGCCUGAUGCAGCGACGCCGCGUGAGGGAUGACGGCCUUCGGGUUGUAAACCUCUUUCAGUAGGGAAGAAGCGAGAGUGACGGUACCUGCAGAAGAAGCGCCGGCUAACUACGUG